RNAcentral lists this ribosomal RNA (1281 nucleotides) under Triticum aestivum (bread wheat). RNAcentral's name for it is "partial small subunit ribosomal RNA". Lineage: Eukaryota; Viridiplantae; Streptophyta; Magnoliopsida; Poales; Poaceae. The record is from RNAcentral.
AUGGCCAUUGCUGGAUCCAGGUGGAUGAUGCUCGACCGCUUUGUCUUCCACAGGGGUGAUGAGGAAGAGGGCAGUGCCUUCCUAGACGGAUCCGAGGCGCCUUUCAGGGCAAGUUCACGCACCUCUCUUUGCAAGAAGUUCGACAUCCUCUUCCUCCUUGCCGAGCCCCCGGCCAUCUCCCGCUUCUACAUGCGGUGUCCUGACGCGUCGUGUGAGACUAAGCCAUCCCUGCAGCUCAAACGGCUCCUUGUCUGCAACAAGCCAAUGAUCUUCCCUUUUGGAGAGGGAGAGGAGAAAGCUGUGGGUGAGCAGCGUGUGUUCUUUCCGGACACUGUAGGACUCAUCCGAGGCCAUGGCGAAAGCGUUGAAGCGGAAUUUGCAGUGGCGCAGCUGGCUAUGGUCAGCGAAAUACCUGGCACGCUCAAGAUGGAAGCAGAAGUUCGUGUGUUCCGCUCACUUGUAUCUGAUGGGCCAUGGGAUGAGCAUGUGGCCAUCACAUCUGAAGAGCUAUGGGCUUUAAACAGAUAUAUAGGUCUGCCGUGUGAUAUCCUGAUGUUCCCUCUUGUGAGCAUGCUGAAUUCCAACAUCGCAUACUUUUUGGUCUCAGAGUCUGCCGAAGAAGAAAAUAGCAAGGUUUCUCUGGUCACAAUUCAGUUAAGUACCAAGAAAGUGCUCGUAGUUGAUCCAUAUAUUUCAAGAGAAGAAGGCAGCCCCAGUGGCCCAGAUGCUGACAUGAUCGAGGAAAAGUCUCCUAGGCGGCCCCUGGCCUUUCCCCUCUUGGUGACACGCCGACACGAGGCAGAGCGGAGCCAUGGAGUACACCUCAGGGUGGCGCAGCGCCCGCUCGGCCUAGAUCUGGGCCCAUCUCGGUCUAGGCGGGGGCGCGGUGUGGCAUGUCAAUGGUGUGGUUUCCGGCAAGCGAAGGAGCGGCGUUGGGCGGAGUGGGUGGUGGCGGCCGCUGGCGUCGGCCUGCUGCAACGUGGUAGUUGGGGCUUUGCGGGCCCAAUUUGGGCAUGGCCGGGCCAGGAGUGGCCUAGUAUGCCCCUGUUGCCGCGUCCGAACGACGACCGCGACGGUGUUGGAGGCACAGGCCUCCCGCACAAUGGCAGUGGAGGUGGUUCCCUCCCGCGCGGCUCCAGUGUUGUCGCUCCUAAUUCCUGGCGCUCCUCUCUCCGUCCUCUUUGCCUCAUGGUGGUGAUCCCUGUGAGGCAGUGUGGGUGGCAUCAAGACCGUGGUGGCCCAUGCUGGUGGGCGGCAAGUUACUGGUUGGUUCCGCAUUAG